RNAcentral lists this small RNA (464 nucleotides) under Pongo abelii (Sumatran orangutan). RNAcentral's name for it is "retained intron". Lineage: Eukaryota; Metazoa; Chordata; Mammalia; Primates; Hominidae. The record is from RNAcentral.
CAUGGGAGGGGUGCUGAGGAAGAAGCGCACAUAGCCUCUGAGCCAGGCAUCUCACUGGGGUCGCCUCUGGGCCAGGCUGCAGCUAGGGAGGGUUCUUGAGUGGGAGGAAAGUAUUGGGGGCUGGCAGCUUUCUGGGGGAGGCCAGGGGUGCCGGAUGGUGACCCAUGCCCGGCCUUCUGUGUCCAGGUUUACUCCAUCAUCUCCGUGCAGCUGCUCAUCACUGUGGCCAUCAUCGCUAUCUUCACCUUUGUGGAACCUGUCAGCGCCUUUGUGAGGAGAAAUGUGGCUGUCUACUACGUGUCCUAUGCUGUCUUCGUUGUCACCUACCUGAUCCUUGCCUGCUGCCAGGGACCCAGGUGAGUCCCAGAGACUUAGACAGUGAGAGGGGUGACAGGGAUUGGGAUGGGGGCCGAGUAUUUUGGAAAGAAAAAGGAUUCCUUUAUAGCAGCUGAAUGGAAACUUAC